Molecule: microRNA precursor, 151 nt
Filed under: Tursiops truncatus (common bottlenose dolphin)
Lineage: Eukaryota; Metazoa; Chordata; Mammalia; Artiodactyla; Delphinidae
Description: miRNA (ENSTTRG00000024263.1)
Rfam family: mir-1302 microRNA precursor family (bases 47-98)
Source: RNAcentral
AAUAUAGGAUGCCCAGUGAAAUUUGAAAUUCAGAUAACAAUGAAUUUUCUUAGUAUAAGUAUGGCCCAUGCAAUAUUUGGGACAUACUUAUACUAAAAAAUUUUGUUGUUCUUUACCUGAAAUUCAUAUUUCACUGGGCAUCCUCUAUUUU